AGCAGCCGCGGUAAUUCCAGCUCCAAUAGCGUAUAUUAAAGUUGUUGCAGUUAAAAAGCUCGUAGUUGAAUUUCGGGAUUGGCGCAUCGGUCGUGCCUCACGGGGUAUGAACUGGUGCAGUCAAUUUCUCACCUUCUGGAGAACCGCGAUGUCCUUAAUUGGAUGCCGCGGGGAACCAGGACCUUUACUUUGAAAAAAUUAGAGUGUUUAAAGCAGGCAUUUUUGCUUGAAUACAUUAGCAUGGAAUAAUAAAAUAGGACGGCAUGGUUCUAUUUUGUUGGUUUCUAGGACCACCGUAAUGAUUAAUAGGGAUAGUUGGGGGCAUUAGUAUUCAAUUGUCAGAGGUGAAAUUCUUGGAUUUAUUGAAGACUAACUACUGCGAAAGCAUUUGCCAAGGAUGUUUUCAUUAAUCAAGAACGAAAGUUAGGGGAUCGAAGACGAUCAGAUACCGUCGUAGUCUUAACCAUAAACUAUGCCGACUAGGAAUCAGACGAUGUUAAUUUCUUAAUGACUCGUUUGG
RNAcentral lists this ribosomal RNA (520 nucleotides) under uncultured Entrophospora. RNAcentral's name for it is "SSU rRNA". It matches the Rfam family "Eukaryotic small subunit ribosomal RNA", at positions 569 to 1083 of the family's 1831-position model. Lineage: Eukaryota; Fungi; Glomeromycota; Glomeromycetes; Entrophosporales; Entrophosporaceae. The record is from RNAcentral.